UUUGCUUUUGUAUUUCAAUAACAAAACAUAAAAUAGAAUACAAAAACUGUCCGGCAUUCGUGCUUAGAGACACACUACUUCUGCUUAUUGGUUGUGAAAUGUUUGCUUUGUGGACAUCGCUUUAAGCAUGAGAAGCUAAAGUACGUGCGUCGAUCGGGUGUGCUUGAGAUUGUCAGGCGAGAGAGAUGGAUGACCACGGCGUCAUCAUUGGCAAGUAGUAUUUCCUAUUUAUCAAACGAACGAAUGAUGAGUUGAGCGCUGGGUCAAGCAAAUCAAGAGGCAAUUGUAAAGACGAAUCGGUAUGUUGGUUAUCACAUUUUAGAAACAACAAAAAUGUUUGGGUCGUCAAUCAUCAUCGUUGUGUGGACAGCGUGUUGGUUCUGUCACCAAACGACCCAGCAAUCGUCAGGACUCAUACAAACUACAACCUGCUUUUGUCAAAACACAAAAGGUCAACAGCGACCGCGGGCACUGGUUAACAAUUUUAAAUGUAAUGUAUCAAUAAUAUCAUUAAUAAAUACUAUAAAAUCAUAACUUGGGUUCAAUGAAAAUUCAGAGAACUCCAGAACAUUCCUUGAUACGUCAGUAAAAUCUGUUUAUUUCCAUCUCAAAAUGAUUUAAAAUUGUGUAAAUGCGAGAAAGAGAAUCUUUACUUGCGACUUACUUGCGUAUUUGCGAGUGUUCGACAUAUUUUUUUCUGAAUAUAAAAUUUGAGCAAAUCGAAAUCAUUUUUAUACCCUAAAAUUCGAUUCCCCCAGAAAUCACAAACAAAAUGAAUAUUUUUAAAUCAUUCUUAGUCAGGAAGAAAUUUUCUUUUUAUAAGAGGGAUGACAAGUCUGAUUCAUUUAUUAUAUUAUUCAAUACCAUGCUUGGCGAACGCUAUUCAUCUACUCAAAAAUGAACCUGAAACAGAUUUGUCUUAGUAUGUUCCACGAGUAUGGGGUCACUGAAAUACGACCCAUCAUUCGCAAAUGCUCUGGAAAGGUCCGGUUUAGUUCAUGAACCAUAUUCCAUGUAUAAAAUUUGUAACCACGUAUUUACAUUCGUCUCGUUCACACUGCUGUUCAAUCUAUUUUUCUCUGAUUCCGUAUUUUCUAUGCAAGCUUCACGCUCAUUUCUAUUUCGAAAUUCAUCAAACCGCCAUUUUGUCUUACUUCCACUUUUAUAUGAUCCGUAUAUUUCAUUUCACCGUCUCCGAUGCUACGAUGAAAACAAUGAGCCUUUUGUAAUAACUUUCAGACCUUCCGGUUGGAAUUUAUGUUCCGUUUUGAUGAAUGUUUGGUUAUCAAAAACAUCAGAUAAACUGUGGUAUAAUUUAUAGCAUGAAGAAAACCGAGAUAAACUAUUUUUGUAAUCAAAAGUGCAUCCGCACUGUCCGCAUGUUUUCUUCUUGUAUAGAUGAAAUACAUUUCUCCUACGUCUUAUUUGCUUAAUUAAAUUUUUAGUCCAUAUUUUGAAAAUUUCGCGAGUUUAAAUUUGAUGUUUGUGUAAUAUGAAUUGGUCAGCAAAUAGUAGUGCAAAUUAAUAAGGGAAUGACUAAACAGUGGCUAAUUAUUGAAGAGUAGCUCGCGAAACGACUGUAAUCGACUAAUCGGGACAAAUUGUCAUUUCAAUUAUUCUACCACUUCUUCGAUUCACGAUAUAUAUUUUCACACUAUUUUUGUCAGUACAUUAAUCAUAUUAAUGUGGGGUAAUUUUUCUAAAUAUCUUGAAAAAGUUUGCAAAUGUCAUGUUAAACAUCGCAACGAUGUCACAGAAGCUAAGCAAUAAGUAUGUUUAUAGUCUGCUUCGUACAUAGCAAACUUUCGAUGCGACGUUAUAUAAACCCUCAGAGCUUUAAAAUCAAGGCCAGAUUCGGAUGGAAUAUUUUAUACAAAUUAAAUUCCAUGUAUAAAUUAACAUGACCAAAUAAAUGUAAUUUUAAAUGUAUAAUACUUUGUGUUGAAUUUGCAUUGUGUGAGUUCUUUUUUUUUUAUCUUUAAAUGACAUGUUUUUGUUGUUGCCAAUCACAG
Long non-coding RNA from Styela clava, 2012 nucleotides. RefSeq lists it as uncharacterized. The record is from RefSeq and is a predicted model, not a curated record. Lineage: Eukaryota; Metazoa; Chordata; Ascidiacea; Stolidobranchia; Styelidae.